This is a non-coding RNA of Phascolarctos cinereus (koala), 536 nucleotides long. The record is from RefSeq and is a predicted model, not a curated record. Lineage: Eukaryota; Metazoa; Chordata; Mammalia; Diprotodontia; Phascolarctidae.
UCUUUUUCCAGUCUCACCACGACGAGUCUGCGUCUGUUAUUCAGAGCAGUGGGGAGCCUCUAGGCACCAUCAUGGUGUGGUGCCCUUGGGCCGCCGCGGGGCCGCUUCUCCCUGAACGCGGCUUUUUGGGGCCGUGCCCGCGACCACCCUGAGGCCCGAAAUUGGCAAGAAGCUGAAUCGAGGACGUCCAGGCCUCCCUGGAAAGCGGAAUGUGUGGAGAUGAAUUGGACAAGGACACAAAAUCAGAAUCAACAGCUGCUGUCAUCAUCUUUGUGGAUUCCUAAGGUGACUAAGGGCUGUAAAUCCUUUUUCAUACAUUGGGUCUCCAAAGAAGUUGAUAAAUCUUAAUUUUAUGUUCCUGUUGAAUUCCACAAGUAAUCCAAGGUCUUCGUGGAAGAAAAGCUAUUAAAAGGCUUUGGACUUGGGAGAUUAGUGGUGGUUUUAGAUUAUUGAGCUCUCCAGAAGGGCACAGUCAUCUGUAAUUUUAUCUCUUGUCUGUUAUGGAUUCUGUGUAUUAAAAAAUUAUACGUAAAACA